AUUGAACGCUAGCGGGAGGCUUUACACAUGCAAGUAGAACGAGUGGCGGACGGGUGAGUAAUAUAUCGGAACGUGCCCAGUAGCGGGGGAUAACUACUCGAAAGAGUGACUAAUACAGCAAACUAUGGGAGCGGCCGAUAUCGGAUUAGCUAGUUGGUGGGGUAAAGGCUCACCAAGGCAAUGAUCCGUCGCUGGUUUGAGAGGACGACCAGCCACGCUGGGACUGAGACACGGCCCAGACUCCUACGGUGGGGAGGAGUGGGGAAUGUUGGACAAUGGUGGAAACCCUGAUCCAGCCAUCCCGCGUGUAUGAGAAGGCCUUCGGGUUGUAAAGUACUUUUGGCAGGGAAGCGGUAUCUGCAGAAUAAGCACCGGCUAACUACGUGCCAGCCGCCGCGGUAAUUC
RNAcentral lists this ribosomal RNA (405 nucleotides) under uncultured bacterium. RNAcentral describes it as "partial 16S ribosomal RNA". It matches the Rfam family "Bacterial small subunit ribosomal RNA", at positions 30 to 526 of the family's 1533-position model. The record is from RNAcentral.